CGGUAAUUCCAGCUCCAAUAGCGUAUACUAAAGUUGUUGCAGUUAAAAAGCUCGUAGUUGGAUUUCUGCGGGGACGGAGCGGCCGGACGCAACUUGCGUCUCGAGCUAGCGCUUUCCCCGCAUCCUGCCGCGAACCGUGCUACCAUUAGUUUGGUGGCGCUGGGGAUCGGCUCGAUUACUUUGAGAAAAAUAGAGUGUUCAAAGCAGGCCACACGCCUUGAAUAAGUUAGCAUGGAAUAAUGACUAAGGACUUUGGUUCUUUUCGUUGGUGUUCGGGACUGAAGUAAUGAUUGAUAGGGACAGUCGGGGCGGUCCGUAUUCCAAGGCGAGAGGUGAAAUUCUUAGACCUUCGGAAGACGAACAGCUGCGAAAGCGUUCCGCAAGGAUGUUCCCUUUGAUCAAGAACGAAAGUUGGGGGAUCGAAGACGAUCAGAUACCGUCGUAGUCUCAACUAUAAACUAUACCAGCUAGGGAUCGGCCAACGUUUAAUUAUUCGACUUGGUCGGCACCUUAUGAGAAAUCAAAGCAUCUGGGUUCCGGGGGGGAGUACGGUCGCAAGGCUGAAACUUAAAGGAAUUGACGGAAGGGCACCACCAGGCGUGGAGCCUGUGGCUUAAUUUGACUCAACACGGGAAAACUUACCAGGUCCAGACAUAGGAAGGAUUGACAGAUUGAUAGCUCUUUCUUGAUUCUGUGGGUGGUGGUGCAUGGCCGUUUUUAGUCGGUGAAGUGAUUUGUCUGCUUAAUUGCGUUAACGGACGAGACCCCAGCCUGCUAAAUAGCGCGGCCGAGCUUUGCUCGGUACGAGCUUUUUAGAGGGACCAUGAUGCGCGAUAGCACAAGGAAGUUUGGGGCAACAACAGGUCUGUGAUGCCCUUAGAUGUUCUGGGCCGCACACGGGCUACACUGGCGCCUGCAACGAGCAUAUCAGCUGGCCCGAGAGGGUCUUGGCUAAUCUUUGGAACCGGCGCCGUGCUUGGGAUUGACCAUUGCAAUUGUUGGUCAUGCAACGAGGAAUGCCUUGUAAACGCGAGUCAUCAGCUCGCAUUGAAUACGUCCCUGCCCUUUGUACACACCGCCCGUCGCUCCUACCGAUGAAUGUUCCGAUGAAAUUUUCGGAGAGCGCCGGAGAACGGGGCUCUGCCCUGCAGAACUGGAGGCUCAAAGUCACUUAAACCUGAACAUUUCGAGGAAGGAGAAGUCGUAACAAGGUAACC
RNAcentral lists this ribosomal RNA (1217 nucleotides) under uncultured Rhizaria. RNAcentral describes it as "SSU rRNA". It matches the Rfam family "Eukaryotic small subunit ribosomal RNA", at positions 577 to 1804 of the family's 1831-position model. The record is from RNAcentral.